This 75-nucleotide transfer RNA is filed under the name Candidatus Buchananbacteria bacterium RIFCSPHIGHO2_01_FULL_44_11. RNAcentral describes it as "tRNA-Arg". It matches the Rfam family "tRNA". Rfam says of the family: Transfer RNA (tRNA) molecules are approximately 80 nucleotides in length. Their secondary structure includes four short double-helical elements and three loops (D, anti-codon, and T loops). Further hydrogen bonds mediate the characteristic L-shaped molecular structure. tRNAs have two regions of fundamental functional importance: the anti-codon, which is responsible for specific mRNA codon recognition, and the 3' end, to which the tRNAs corresponding amino acid is attached (by aminoacyl-tRNA synthetases). tRNAs cope with the degeneracy of the genetic code in two manners: having more than one tRNA (with a specific anti-codon) for a particular amino acid; and 'wobble' base-pairing, i.e. permitting non-standard base-pairing at the 3rd anti-codon position. RNAcentral also lists the same sequence under 1 other name. Lineage: Bacteria; Candidatus Buchananiibacteriota. The record is from RNAcentral.
GCCCUUGUAGCUCAACGGAUAGAGCAAACCCGUCCUAAGGGUGAGAUGGGGGUUCAAUUCCCUUCAAGGGCACCA